GCGAGCAGCCACCUGGCCAGUUUGUGACGCUGAGGCGCGAGAGCGUGGGGAGCAAACCGGAUUAGAUACCCGGGUAGUCCACGCCCUAAACGAUGCGCACUAGGUCUUUGGGUUUACUGGGGGCCGAAGCUAACGCGUUAAGUGCGCCGCCUGGGGAGUACGGCCGCAAGGCUGAAACUCAAAGGAAUUGACGGGGGCCCGCACAAGCGGUGGAGCAUGUGGUUUAAUUCGAAGCGACGCGAAGAACCUUACCAGGCCUUGACAUGCUGGGGAACCUGCCUGAAAGGGCGGGGUGCCGUAAGGAGCCCCAGCACAGGUGCUGCAUGGCCGUCGUCAGCUCGUGCCGUGAGGUGUUGGGUUAAGUCCCGCAACGAGCGCAACCCCUGCCCCUAGUUGCCAGCGGGUGAAGCCGGGGACUCUAGGGGGACUGCCCGCGAAAGCGGGAGGAAGGCGGGGACGACGUCUGGUCAGCAUGGCCCUUACGGCCUGGGCGACACACGUGCUACAGUGCCCACUACAGAGCGAGGCGACCGGGCGACCGGGGGCGAAUCGCAAAAAGGUGGGCGUAGUUCGGAUUGCAGUCUGCAACUCGACUGCAUGGAGUCGGAAUCGCUAGUAAUCGCGGAUCAGCCAUGCCGCGGUGAAUACGUUCCCGGGCCUUGUACACACCGCCCGUCACGCCAUGGGAGCGGGUUCUACCCGAAGUCGCCGGGAGCCUGAGGGCAGGCGCCGAGGGUAGGGCUCGUGACUGGGGCGAAGUCGUAACAAGGUAACCAAGCCUUAGACGUAA
This 790-nucleotide ribosomal RNA is filed under the name uncultured bacterium. Its description in RNAcentral is "bacterial SSU rRNA". It matches the Rfam family "Bacterial small subunit ribosomal RNA", at positions 715 to 1533 of the family's 1533-position model. The record is from RNAcentral.